RNAcentral lists this transfer RNA (64 nucleotides) under Cleridae sp. 1 ACP-2013. Its description in RNAcentral is "tRNA-His". Lineage: Eukaryota; Metazoa; Arthropoda; Insecta; Coleoptera; Cleridae. The record is from RNAcentral.
UUUAAAUAGUUUAAUUAAAAAUACUAGUUUGUGGUGCUGGAGAUAUAUAAUAUAUUUUAAAUAA